UGCCAGCAGAAGCGGUUAAACGAGUAAGCUCGAGGUUUAAUCCUCGGUAUAAAAGAUGGUUAUGCAAUAACCUGAGAAAUAAAAAGUGACCUUACAGUAAAAUGGAUAAUCACCUUCCUCUAUUUUCUCUCGAACGCAGAACCCAUGAAACUUCUAGGAGAAACUAGGAUUAGAGACCCUAUUAUCCAGAAGCUUAAACUGACUUUCUACCUGGGUACUACGAACAUUGUUUAAAACCCAAAGGGCUUGGCGGCCUUCAAUAGUACUAGGGGAACCUGUGUGGUAAUCGACACUCCACGUUAAUUCUCACCUUCUCUUGAAACCCUCAGUAUGUAUACCUCCGUCUUAACUCACCUUAAGAGCCUUGGAGUGAGUAAGAAGUAAAUAACUACUCCAUGACAGGUCAAGGUGCAGCCUAUGAGAAGGGUCAUCAUGGGUGACAAUUCACUAAAAGAUCAAUGGACUUCCCUUGGAAACAAGGGAAUGAAAAUGGACUUAGAAGUAAAGGUAUCUUUAGAAAAAUACCUUGAAAUACUCCCUAGAAGGUGCACAAAUCGCCCGUCACUCUCAUCGAAAGACGAGAAAAGUCGUAACACAGUA
Molecule: ribosomal RNA, 600 nt
Filed under: Fredericella sultana
Lineage: Eukaryota; Metazoa; Bryozoa; Phylactolaemata; Fredericellidae
Description: partial 12S ribosomal RNA
Rfam family: Microsporidia small subunit ribosomal RNA
Source: RNAcentral